Molecule: ribosomal RNA, 497 nt
Filed under: uncultured bacterium
Lineage: Bacteria
Description: partial 16S ribosomal RNA
Rfam family: Bacterial small subunit ribosomal RNA
Source: RNAcentral
GAUGAACGCUGGCGGCGUGCCUAAUACAUGCAAGUCGAGCGAACAGACGAGGAGCUUGCUCCUUUUACGUUAGCGGCGGACGGGUGAGUAACACGUAGGUAACCUACCUAUAAGACUGGGAUAACUUCGGGAAACCGGAGCUAAUACCGGAUAAUAUUUCGAACCGCAUGGUUCGUUAGUGAAAGAUGGCUUUGCUAUCACUUAUAGAUGUACCUACGCCGUAUUAGCUAGUUGGUAAGGUAACGGCUUACCAAGGCGACGAUACGUAACAGACCUGAGAGGAUGAGCAGCAAAACUGGAAAUGAGAAAAGGGACAGAAUCAGAAGGGAGGCAGAAGGGGGGAAGAUUGGAGAAUGGGAGAAAGGCUGAUACAGAAAUGAAGAGUGUGUGAAGAAGGUAUUAGGAUUGUAAAGAACUUUAAGGUGGGAGGAAGGGAAGGAAGUUAAUAACUGGCUGUUGUGACGUUACCAACAGAAUAAGAAACGGAUAACUUCGUG